This 83-nucleotide transfer RNA is filed under the name Podarcis lilfordi (Lilford's wall lizard). RNAcentral describes it as "tRNA.Lys". The stretch from base 20 to 75 matches the Rfam family "tRNA", at positions 10 to 63 of the family's 71-position model. Rfam says of the family: Transfer RNA (tRNA) molecules are approximately 80 nucleotides in length. Their secondary structure includes four short double-helical elements and three loops (D, anti-codon, and T loops). The record is from RNAcentral. Lineage: Eukaryota; Metazoa; Chordata; Lepidosauria; Squamata; Lacertidae.
GUCUUCAGUUCUUCAAAUUGCUCAGUUGGUAGAGCAUGAGACUUUUAAUCUCAGGGUUGUGGGUUUGAGCCCCAUGUUAGGCA